GACGAACGCUGGCGGCGUGCCUAAUACAUGCAAGUCGAGCGGACAGAUGGGAGCUUGCUCCCUGAUGUUAGCGGCGGACGGGUGAGUAACACGUGGGUAACCUGCCUGUAAGACUGGGAUAACUCCGGGAAACCGGGGCUAAUACCGGAUGGUUGUUUGAACCGCAUGGUUCAGACAUAAAAGGUGGCUUCGGCUACCACUUACAGAUGGACCCGCGGCGCAUUAGCUAGUUGGUGAGGUAACGGCUCACCAAGGCGACGAUGCGUAGCCGACCUGAGAGGGUGAUCGGCCACACUGGGACUGAGACACGGCCCAGACUCCUACGGGAGGCAGCAGUAGGGAAUCUUCCGCAAUGGACGAAAGUCUGACGGAGCAACGCCGCGUGAGUGAUGAAGGUUUUCGGAUCGUAAAGCUCUGUUGUUAGGGAAGAACAAGUGCCGUUCAAAUAGGGCGGCACCUUGACGGUACCUAACCAGAAAGCCACGGCUAACUACGUGCCAGCAGCCGCGGUAAUACGUAGGUGGCAAGCGUUGUCCGGAAUUAUUGGGCGUAAAGGGCUCGCAGGCGGUUUCUUAAGUCUGAUGUGAAAGCCCCCGGCUCAACCGGGGAGGGUCAUUGGAAACUGGGGAACUUGAGUGCAGAAGAGGAGAGUGGAAUUCCACGUGUAGCGGUGAAAUGCGUAGAGAUGUGGAGGAACACCAGUGGCGAAGGCGACUCUCUGGUCUGUAACUGACGCUGAGGAGCGAAAGCGUGGGGAGCGAACAGGAUUAGAUACCCUGGUAGUCCACGCCGUAAACGAUGAGUGCUAAGUGUUAGGGGGUUUCCGCCCCUUAGUGCUGCAGCUAACGCAUUAAGCACUCCGCCUGGGGAGUACGGUCGCAAGACUGAAACUCAAAGGAAUUGACGGGGGCCCGCACAAGCGGUGGAGCACGUGGUUUAAUUCGAAGCAACGCGAAGAACCUUACCAGGUCUUGACAUCCUCUGACAAUCCUAGAGAUAGGACGUCCCCUUCGGGGGCAGAGUGACAGGUGGUACAUGGUUGUCGUCAGCUCGUGUCGUGAGAUGUUGGGUUAAGUCCCGCAACGAGCGCAACCCUUGAUCUUAGUUGCCAGCAUUCAGUUGGGCACUCUAAGGUGACUGCCGGUGACAAACCGGAGGAAGGUGGGGAUGACGUCAAAUCAUCAUGCCCCUUAUGACCUGGGCUACACACGUGCUACAAUGGACAGAACAAAGGGCAGCGAAACCGCGAGGUUAAGCCAAUCCCACAAAUCUGUUCUCAGUUCGGAUCGCAGUCUGCAACUCGACUGCGUGAAGCUGGAAUCGCUAGUAAUCGCGGAUCAGCAUGCCGCGGUGAAUACGUUCCCGGGCCUUGUACACACCGCCCGUCACACCACGAGAGUUUGUAACACCCGAAGUCGGUGAGGUAACCUUUAUGGAGCCAGCCGCCGAAGGUGGGACAGAUGAUUGGGGUGAAGUCGUAACAAGGUAACCA
This 1492-nucleotide ribosomal RNA is filed under the name Bacillus amyloliquefaciens. RNAcentral's name for it is "bacterial SSU rRNA". It matches the Rfam family "Bacterial small subunit ribosomal RNA". Lineage: Bacteria; Bacillati; Bacillota; Bacilli; Caryophanales; Bacillaceae. The record is from RNAcentral.